RNAcentral lists this ribosomal RNA (301 nucleotides) under uncultured bacterium. RNAcentral's name for it is "partial 16S ribosomal RNA". It matches the Rfam family "Bacterial small subunit ribosomal RNA", at positions 509 to 807 of the family's 1533-position model. The record is from RNAcentral.
CAGCCGCCACGGUAAUACGAAGGGGGCUAGCGUUGCUCGGAAUGACUGGGCGUAAAGGGCGCGUAGGCGGCGGCCAAAGUCAGGCGUGAAAUUCCCGGGCUCAACCUGGGGGCUGCGUUUGAUACUUGGUUGCUUGAGUGGGGAAGAGGGUUGUGGAAUUCCCAGUGUAGAGGUGAAAUUCGUAGAUAUUGGGAAGAACACCGGUGGCGAAGGCGGCAACCUGGUCCAUGACUGACGCUGAGGCGCGAAAGCGUGGGGAGCAAACAGGAUUAGAUACCCGCGUAGUCCCUGUCUCUUAUAC